This 21-nucleotide non-coding RNA is filed under the name Arabidopsis thaliana (thale cress). RNAcentral also lists the same sequence under 2 other names. Lineage: Eukaryota; Viridiplantae; Streptophyta; Magnoliopsida; Brassicales; Brassicaceae. The record is from RNAcentral.
UUGAAAGUGACUACAUCGGGG